UUAAGUGUAGUUAUAGGUUAAUAAAAUUAUAUGUUUAAGUUCUUUUUCAGUAAAACGAUAGAUACAUAGAGCGAUUGCAUGUCAAUGAAGUAAAAGCUUCUCAUUUUCAUAUAAUAUAAAUAAAUAGAGGGUAUAAUGAAUGAGUUAGGCUUCAUUAAUAAAUUUAUUAGAUAAGAUGAAUUAAAUUAUUCGAUUAUUGUUCGAGCCUCUGGUGAUCAUGAUAUUUGUUAUUUAACAAGUUUAAUUAAUUUAGUUUUGAAUAUAAUAUAACAUUUUAUCACAUACCCGAAAUGAAACCCUAAAUCUCCAAAAAUUGUAUAUUUAUACAGUGGUACGAUUCCGCCAUAGUACGUAUCCUCUCCAAAUUCUUACAUAGUUACUCCCCUUUCAUAAAUGAUCGUCAUUGACCCUGCACAAAAACUACGUUUUACAGUUUUCUCUCAUAGAAAUAUCAGGUCUUACUUCUAGCGAGGAAAUAAAAGCUGACAUGAUGGACAGUAAUCUAAACAAAGACACACUUUGUGAGAAGUUAUCACCUGAAUUGCGAAAAAGUGGUGUUCAAAGAAAUAAGAUGCUCAGUCCGUGUAAAAUGACACAUAGAUGUUAUAUUUGUGAUAAAACAUUUACUCAACGAAGAUCUGUGAAAACACAUAUGACAAUACAUACUGGCGAGAAGAAUCAUGCAUGUAAAAUUUGUGAUAAAGCAUUUUCUGAUCGAAGUUAUUUGAAUAAACAUAUGAGAAUACAUACUGGCGAAAAGAAUCAUGUAUGUGACAUAUGUGAUAAAGCAUUUUCUUUUCGAAGUAAUUUGAUUAGGCAUAUGACAAUACAUACUGGCGAGAAGAAUCAUGUAUGUAAAAUUUGUGAUAAAGCAUUUUCUGAUCGAAGUUCUUUGAAUAGACAUAUGAGAAUGCAUACUGGCGAGAAGAAUCAUGUAUGUGACAUGUGAUCAAGCAUUUUCUUAUCGAAGUAAUUUGAUCAGGCACAUGACAAUACAUACUGGCGAGAAGAAUCAUGUGCCAAAACCUUUUCUCACCGAAUUUCUCUGAAUAUCCAUAUGACAAAACAUACUGGUGAGAAGAAUCAUAAAUGUGACAUAUGUGAGCAGCAAAGUAAUUUCAUCAAUCAUAUGGCAAUACAUAGUGGCAAGAAGAAUUAUCAAUGUGAAAUGUGUGAUAAAAAUGUUCUCAACGAAAUAAUCUAAAUACACAUAUGACAAUACAUACUGGCAAGAUAAAUCAUGUACAGUGAGUUGGCCAAUAGCGGGUCACUAGCGAAACUUUUAGUGUUUAUGAACGAACGAUUUUUAGAUUCAUAUAUAAAUGUAUGAUGAUAAGAAGUAUUUUUAUUCCCCUUUUACUGUAUACUUCUUGUGAAUUCAUAUUUUGAAUGCAUCGUGGUGUAUUUACCAUUUCCAAACCCUUUGUAAACAUGCCAAUAGCGGAUCAAAUCGGUCAUUAGCGGGUCACGUGAUAUACGAACGGGGGGUUUUCUCAAAACAUUAAUUAUCUGUCAAAUUCUUCCCUUAACCAGGAAAAUAUUACACAACUAUGUGUUACCGCUGAGUAUUAAAGUGAAAGGGGUACCAAUAAGUAAAAAAUCCAAGUGACAGCUGCAUGAUUGUGAUAAAAACAAUAAUGAUUAUAGUUUUGCUGAUCUAGAUAUCUGCUCAAUGAAUUGUAAAUUGUGUAGAUAACAUAUUUAUUUCAUUUUCAGGGUUACAGGGGACAAAGCAGCUCAUCGAAGCAAUUUUGUGCACAUUCUAUGUAAAAUUCCAUUAAAUUAACUGUAACACAAGUCAUUUUUUGUGAAUCAAAAGCUUAAAAUGCAGUCUCAAGAAAUGUGCAUGUUCUUCUAUGUUGUCAUUAUGAGGAUACACUUUCUAAGAAUAACAAAAUUGUUUUUCUCUUAUUGAGUACACUCUGUGAUAUAAACAAACAAAAUUAUAACAAAAUACAUGUAACAUGUACAGUCACUUACAGGCACAUUAUGUGUAUGAAAGAUUAAUAAUUCUGUCGAAAGUGCAAAAAUGAGUUUAAGUAUGUUGUAAUAGGGAUUUAUAUCAUAUGAUGUGAUGCUUAUCAUCUGAUAAAAAUACCUUUGAAUAUUAAAUCAUUGUGAUAAAGCAAGUAAAUUAAUACAAAAUACUAAUUAACUUUUACUGUACUAAACCUAAGCAAAAAGGAAACUAAAAAUGGUUCAGAAAUAUGACCAAUAAGUAACUUUUGGAAAGUGCAAAAUUGACAUUAAAAAUAACUAAGCUUUGAAAAAAUAAAGUGAUAGCCUUAAAAUAACAAGACUUUGAAAAAAUAAUGAUAGCAUUGUUAGGCUUAAUUGGCUUUUACAGAGUUGAAAAUUUACACAUGUUUAUUCCUUGUUCAGUGUCAUAGCAUGGCCUUCUGGGAUUUUAUCUAACAUUACAGAAAGUUUUUGAAAAUUACUCUCAAUAUCUGGGUGAAAUAUAAUAUAGUUGCAUGGCAACACAACCCCACCACCUUCAGAACUUGGAGCCGGCCAUGGUGGGAAACUCUGAGUAGGCUCACCGGUAACUUCAGCUUCGAUAUGUCCUUUGUACGAAAAAAACCAGCUAUCCCUCGUGGAACAUGGCCAAUUGGAAGUCCUGCUACAUUUUGCAACCGUAGCUGGCAUUUUUAGCUCGACUUUUUUUUUU
Ruditapes philippinarum (Manila clam) is the source of this 2671-nucleotide long non-coding RNA. RefSeq lists it as uncharacterized. Lineage: Eukaryota; Metazoa; Mollusca; Bivalvia; Venerida; Veneridae. The record is from RefSeq and is a predicted model, not a curated record. The transcript is spliced from 2 exons.